UACGGAGGGUGCAAGCGUUAUCCGGAUUCACUGGGUUUAAAGGGUGCGCAGGUGGGUUGGUAAGUCAGUGGUGAAAUCUCCGUGCUUAACAUGGAAACUGCCAUUGAUACUACUGGUCUUGAAUUAUCUGGAGGUCAGCGGGAUAUGUCAUGUAGCGGUGAAAUGCUUAGAUAUGACAUAGAACACCAAUUGCGAAGGCAGCUUACUACACAAAUAUUGACGCUGAGGCACGAAAGCGUGGGGAUCAAACAGG
RNAcentral lists this ribosomal RNA (253 nucleotides) under uncultured bacterium. RNAcentral's name for it is "partial 16S ribosomal RNA". It matches the Rfam family "Bacterial small subunit ribosomal RNA", at positions 524 to 776 of the family's 1533-position model. The record is from RNAcentral.